CCCGCAACGAGCGCAACCCUUAUCCUUUGUUGCCAGCACUUCGGGUGGGAACUCAAAGGAGACUGCCGGUGAUAAACCGGAGGAAGGUGGGGAUGACGUCAAGUCAUCAUGGCCCUUACGAGUAGGGCUACACACGUGCUACAAUGGCAUAUACAAAGAGAAGCAAACUCGCGAGAGCCAGCGGACCUCAUAAAGUAUGUCGUAGUCCGGAUUGGAGUCUGCAACUCGACUCCAUGAAGUCGGAAUCGCUAGUAAUCGUAGAUCAGAAUGCUACGGUGAAUACGUU
This 286-nucleotide ribosomal RNA is filed under the name Rahnella aquatilis. Its description in RNAcentral is "partial 16S ribosomal RNA". It matches the Rfam family "Bacterial small subunit ribosomal RNA", at positions 1086 to 1372 of the family's 1533-position model. Lineage: Bacteria; Pseudomonadati; Pseudomonadota; Gammaproteobacteria; Enterobacterales; Yersiniaceae. The record is from RNAcentral.